UUGACGUUCAUCCCUGUAUGGUCCCUAAUUAUCCAGCAAGCCCUCCUGCUGCCUGCGUCCAACUGCCAGCUGAGACAUGUCGGUGAUCAGGAAGCAUGGAUUACCUGAGGGAAACCAAUGUCACAAACUAACCUAAAGCUUCAGGUGCGGUCCAUUUGAUCGGCAGCUUGACUUUAUCAGUUUCCUUGGAGCCCACCUUGGUCAGGCCAAAGUCGCUAACCUUGG
Long non-coding RNA from Melanotaenia boesemani (Boeseman's rainbowfish), 225 nucleotides. RefSeq lists it as uncharacterized. The record is from RefSeq and is a predicted model, not a curated record. Lineage: Eukaryota; Metazoa; Chordata; Actinopteri; Atheriniformes; Melanotaeniidae. The transcript is spliced from 3 exons.